RNAcentral lists this long non-coding RNA (28419 nucleotides) under Nicotiana benthamiana. Its description in RNAcentral is "long non-coding RNA (NBEN_LNC025595)". The record is from RNAcentral. Lineage: Eukaryota; Viridiplantae; Streptophyta; Magnoliopsida; Solanales; Solanaceae.
GGAAGGAUACCGGGGUCUAUUUGGAAACAGCCUCUCUACCCUAAGGUGGAGGUAAGGUCUGCGUACACACUACCCUCCCCAGAUCCCACUAAAUGAGAUUAUACUGAGUUGUUGUUGUUGUUGUUGAUGCUUCAGUGCCUUGCUGGUUACACUUUCUUUUAAUAAAAAGAGUUUGGAUCUUCUAUAAUAAAUUCGAAAUUAUUCUAAUUGAAAAUAAAAAAUAAAGAUAAAUUAGGUAUGAGAGGUCUUCUUUUCUUUCUCGUAUCGUUCCAAUUUUAUCGAAUAUCCCUGUAAAAAUGAUGAUUGGUUUUUCUUUCCGAACAAAAGGUUGAUUUAGAAGGGAAGUCUUAGAACAACAGAUAAGUUGCCUCCAUGUGAGUGACCUAUAGGUUACAAGUUCGAGUCGUGAAAUCAGCCAUUGAUACUUGCAUCAGAGUAGGCAGCCUACAUCACUCCUCUUAAGAUACGGCCCUUCCUUGAAUUCACUGUGAACGGGGAUACUUCAUGCACGCUGCCUUUUUUUUUUUGUUGGUUUAACAAGAAAAGAGAUAGUCUUUUUGUAUCUAUUCAGAAGAAUAUUUCUAAAAUUAAACUUAAGGGUCUUGCAAUUAUCUUCCUUUUCUUUAGUCACAAGGCUAGAUAUCAAAACCCCAUUUUAGAUCAACAAGAGGGCAGCCCAAAGUUGAAAACUUAACCAAGUUAUUGUUGCUGCAACAAUAAAUUAGAACAGUAAAUGCUAGCAAAAAUUGGUUGUUUCUUUUAGAUUUCUUGUUAGGUAUUUUGCAGUUCACUGUCUUCAUAGCUUUCCAGUGAAUUUGUUAGUUAUAUUUACUUAUUCCUUGCUAGGCUGCUAUCUUUAGCUGAAAUUGGGCAGCCUCAUUUAUUUCCAAUGACACAUCAUUGAAUUUUCAUUCUCCCUUUGACUUCUCCACACAUAGGGCUAUGUCAUUUGUGUUCAUUCUGUCCCUUGCUUUGCUUGUGCCAGCUGCCUAACGGUAAAAAAUUUACUCGCAUCACGUAUUUAAGAUUCAAGAAUUAAUCUAAAAGGUCGUUCACCCAAUCACUUAAAAUUAAAAAUAAUCGAUUGAGAUAUAAUAUAAGCACAUGUUAUGCAUUUUAUAUAUAUAAUUGUAUAUAAUUAAUGUAUAAUUUAUGUACAUGACUAGAACAAAUAAACAAUAAAUAUGGCCGGCUAUUUACGAAAAAAUCCCGCCAAAUCAUUUAAGGUUAAGAAACUUAAAUAUUAUAAUGAUUUUACAAAUUUGUUGGAAUAUUAUAUCAUCCAUCUUUAAAUUCCUAUUAAAGAUAAUGCUACGAAACGAAUUUUCUCUCUAUAUAUUGGAUAAUAGAAAUGUUCUUAUUUCGAUGCCCUAUCUCUUAUUAUGUGGUUAAGGGCAAUUAAUACUAUAAAAAGUGAAUAGUGAUAAUGAACUCUGAAACCAAAUGGGCAUUUGCAAACAUGAUGAAAGAUAAUCCAAAGUUCCACGUUAGCCUUCUUGCAAGAAAACGAUUGUGGUAAAGUGCAAUGGCUUUCUAUGUGUUCUUUCAUCUUGUAAUAAGAGAUUGAAUUUGAGAUUUGAACUUUAUGGGUUUGGGCUCGAAUUCCGAUCUCAUUUUCUUUUUAGUCCGUUUAGAAAAGAAUAAUACAUUUAUAUAUUUCCAAACAAUUUAACUUUAAUAUUUUUUCAUUUUACUCACUUUGUCAAGUCAAACACAUCAUCUAAAUUGAAAUGAAGGGAGUACUAAUUUUGGUCAUUAAAAAAAAAAAAAAAAAUAUAUAUAUAUAUAUAUAUAUAUAUACACACACACACACACACACUGGAUCGAGCAACCGCAACUGAGUUGGACUCCACAUCUGCACAGGUUGUAAUGCAGAAUGGGCAGCCCCUCCCUAGAGCCCAAAUGCUUUAACCACACACUCUUUCUCCAGUAAUUUACAACUUUAACAAGGUGCAAGUCCAAAUAAUGGCCCAAAAUUAAUACGAGUAUUACUGAAGGAUAGCAAUAGGACUUGCAGGGAAGAUUUUUGGCAAAUUCAUCUAUUCUUGGAUUCGAGAAUAGCAAACUGGAGAGCAUGACACAACAAAAUCUAGUGUUUCUACCUCACUUCAAAAUAGGGUAUUAAAGACCGGCUAUUCUGUGAUUUCAUCAGCUAAAAGUCCCUCACAAAUCCAAAGUCUUCAUAAUAUAGCCGAUCUUUAACACAUUGUCGUGCUGCCUGCUAUAAGAUGUCGCUGAUAGUACAAGGCAAAUUUGAGGAAGUAUCACCUCCUCAAUAAACCAUUGACAUGAUGUUAGUCUCUUUCAUUCCUUGGCAGUUUUGGGGACACAGCCAUUCUGCUAUUUAUCCUAGUAAAAGAAUAGACACCCCAUUAAACAGCAUAGAGGGUUUGAUCAUGUGCAAAGCCCUCUGAGAAGGAUGCAUACUCCAAAAAUGAAAGAAAUCCAGUACUACAAGAGGGGGAAACCACGUCAAAAUGACUAAUCUGAUUGCAAAUUUGGAAACUCAGUUCAGGUUAAAGGAAUACAUCAACACAAAAAUCUUCCUCUUAAUCAUCCACAAAACCAGGUUCUGAAAUUACAUUCUUCAACUCUUGAGCUUUUUCAUCAUUAAAGCCCAAUGCAGACAAUAUCUUAUAACCUGGUGAUCCUACUUGUGACCACACCCCAAGGAGCAAAUGAGUAGUUGUAAUUUCCCCAUUGUCACCUGCAUUUUCAUAAACAACAAUCAAAUAACCAAGAACAUUUUCACUUUCUUCUGCCAAAACAAAUAAACUUGGUGAUCCUUGAUCUGAUGCUUUUUAGCACAUCACUACAUUUGGCUAUUUCCAUUUUCCACUAAGUUAUAAAAUUUUCAUAAAUUUUCAUCUAAUACGACAAAAAGAAAGAAAACUUUGAAGAAGGGCUUGAGGACAAGAGAAACAAAUUUUGGAAAGAUUCAGCUGUUAUAGAAUCCAUAACCACUAUAGAUUGACUAAACCGCCAAGGUACCCACACAGAAUAUACCCCUCUUUUCUUUCUUUUUAGUGAUAAGUAUGUAGAAACAGAAAAUGUCAUACAUUCUAAUAGUUGAUUUUUCACAACUAGGGUUAGGUUGUAACUAUGGACUUGAAAAGCGAUAUGUUCUAAUGGAGGUUAUGAAUUUCCAAGUUCAGUCUGCACUUUGUGCACUUUUGAAUAUUUUGUUUCAUUUUCUAUCUUAUUUUUCGUUAUCUUUCUAUGCUCAUCUAGUCAAAUUUAAAUUUCACUCGAGUAGAAUAAAAAACUAAAACCAUGCUAGACUCCUUCAACUUUGCGCUUUGAUUACCAAGGAAUAGAGACUUCACAAAUAAAGCCCAAGGAUUGGCAUUCCAUUGCUGUCAUUUUUUUAUGUAUAUGGGUACAACUAUCUUCGCUCUCAAUGUGCCCUAUGAUGUAGCGCCCGGCGGGCUGUUAGCUAGUGUGUAUCAUUUUACGAGAAUAGAGGAUGGUGUGGAUCAACCAAAAGAGGUAUGCAUAUAAUAUGUUGGGAAUCUCGUAUGAUAAUCAUCCACGCUUGAAACACAUCUUAAUGCCUGAAAGUUGGAUAGGAUGGCCCUUUCGUAAGGAUUAUAUUGCCCCCAAUUCAUAUGAAAUACAAGAUGCUCAUUGAAUGAUAAGAAAGCUAUUUCCACUUAGACAGUUUCAAAUAUUCAAGGAUUGCACGUUUUGUUCUAGAUUAAGCAGGUCUAAUUAGGGAAUUAUCGAUAGUCUAACAAAAAAGGACAAUUAGGGAUUCAUUGGAAUUCUCACAUUUAUUUGGAAGAUACUUAUUUUGGAUAGGUCACACCAAUAUGAUGAACCAAAUGAGUUCUGCAUCAUGAACUUUGUACUGCGCACAUUACUUAGACGGGUUCUUUUUUUGAUGAAGUAAGAUGUUUCAUUGAAUGCAUCAAGAAGAUGCCAUAAAAUUACAAAGAGAGAGUCCUUGGCUAACUCUGUAAAGACAAAAUAACCUAUAAGACAUGAGUUAGCCAUGACCAAAAUCAAAAGAGGCAUUAUGCCAUGCUAAAGGAGCUAAUAAAAUCUAAAAGGGAAAUGACAUCAUUCACAGGGGAAAGGUAGCUUCAACUAAACAAAUUCACUAGACAUUUAGACUUCAAACGGCUGGUGGAAGUUGAGAUGCCUUCAAAACAUUUGGAAUUCCUUUCUGUCCAUAUACUCCAGCAGAUAUAAGCUGGGAUCAUUUGCUUGAUGGAUUUCUCAACUUUCCAGGAGCACCAGCCAUCAAAUGCAUCUCUGAUGUCCAAAGGUAUUGCCCAACUGAGUUCAUAAAAUGCUAAGAACAUGUUUCAGAUAUCAUAUGCCACUAGACAGUGCGAAAAAAGGUGAUUUACUGAUUCAGGGUUGCUGCAACACAUGUAAUAUCUAUUGACCAGUUGGAUGCUACUUCAGCAUAGAUUGUCAUGUGUUAGUGUAGCAUUCCUGAGGGCAAUCCAGGAGAAACAAAUAACUUUAGUGGGUAGUUUUGAUCUCCAAAUAUGUUUCCAUGGCCAAUUGUCAAUCAUUCCAUCAGGUGCACACAGUUUGUUAUACCCUGCCUUCACUGUGUAUAUACCCUUGCUGGAGUUGCCCCAUCUUAGCCUGUCUGUAGUUUGACUGUCUAUGGAAGAACCUUCAAUGAUUCUGAAAAGAUCAAAGAGUUCCACUAGUUCCCAGUCCUGCAGGUUCCUUCUGAAAAGUGGUUCCCAUAAGUUCCCUGUUCUAUUUUGCGCAAUUGAUGAGUCAGGAUCCAAGGCUAUCUGGAAAAUGCCUGGGUGUGUGUCUCUAAAGGUUGGGGCAGGAUCCACCUAUCCUUCCAGAAUUUAACAAAUCUGCCAUCCCCUACUUUGAAGUUUACCGCUUGAAAGAAUUCCUGUUUUAAGCUGUUGAUAUACUUCCAGGGCCCAACACCAUGUGGAGCUCUGCUUUGUUUGGUGCUCCAGUUGUCCAACUUCCCAUACUUAGCCGUCACCACCUUCUUCCAUAUGCAAGAAUAUUCUUGAGCAUACCUCCACCACCACUUCAAUAAAAGGCUCCUAUUGUACUUUUGGAGAUCCCUAACUCCUAGACCACCUUAAUGCUUAGGCAUGAUUACUUUGGACCACUUAACCAAAUGAAACUUGUGAUCUUCACUAUUGCCCUCCCAUAGGAAUGAUCUUCUGGCUUUGUCUAGCUGCUUUUUGACUCUGCUUGACAUAGGGAAGAGGGACAUGAUAUAAGUAGGAAUGUUGUCCAUGACAUUUUUAAUCAGCAUUAAUCUUCCCCCCCCCCUAUUGAUAAAUACUGCAUUUUCCAAGAAGCCAAUCUUUUUUCUACCUUUUCAAUGACUCCAUUCCAAACUUCAAUUGUUUUGUGCUUUGCUCCCAAGGGAAGCCCUAGGUAAGAUGUUGGGAAAGACCCAAUGCUACAGCCCAUUAUCCCAGCCAGUUCCUCUAAGUUAGUCACCUCAUUCACUGAGUAUAUCACACGUUUUGUCAUGUUGAUGUGUAACCCUGAGAUAGCUUCAAAAUUAGGAGUGUCAAGUUGAGAUACCGGACUUGAAGCUUGUCAUCCCCACAGAAAAUUAGAGUGUCAUCUGCAUACAAAAAAAGGGAGACUGAAACUGAUAGGUGUGAGUUAAUACCCAUCUUGAACCCUUCAAUCCAAAUACUGUAUUUUCCAAGAGGCCGUCUUUUUUCUACCUUUUCAAUGACUCCAUUCCAGACUUCAAUUGUUUUAUGCUUUGAUCCUAAGGGAAGCCCUAGGUAAGAAUUUGGGAAAGACCCAAUGCUACAGCCCAUUAUCCCAGCCAAUUCCUCUAAGUUAUCCACCUCAUUCACUGAGUAUAUCACACUUUUUGACAUGUUGAUGUGUAACCCUGCGAUAGCUUCAAAAAUUAGGAGUGUCAAGUUGAGGUACUGGACUUGAAGCUUGUCAGCCCCACAGAAAAUUAGAGUGUCAUCUGCAUACAACAAAUGGGAGACUGAAACUGAUAGGUCUGAGUUACUACGCACCUUGAACCCUUCAAUCCACUGCUCUUGCUUAGCCUUGUCAAACAUUUUGCUCAACCCUUCCAUAGCUAAGAUGAAGAUUAAGGGAGACAAAAGGUCUCCUUGCCUUAUUCCCUUCUGAGGAGCAAAGAAUCCUACUGGAGAUCUGUUUAUUAGGAUAGAGUAUUUAACAGUGGUAAGGCUAAAUUUGAUCCAUCUAAUCCAUCUCUCACCAAAUCCCAUUUCUUUCAGUAAGUUCAGUAGGUAAGACCAGUUGACCUUAUCAAAAGCUUUCUCUACAUCUAGCUUGCAAAGAAUUCCCGGGAUCCCUCUCUUUAAUCUUUCAUCCAGUAAUUCAUUUGCUACAAGGGAAGCAUCAGUGAUUUGCCUGUUUUUCAAGAAUGCAUUUUGCUCCUCAGAAACCAACUUCCUAUCACUGUCUUCAAUCUUUCUGCUAAGAGUUUGGCUAUUAUCUUAUACACACUCCCAAUGAGACUUAUGGGUCUGAAGUCUCUGAGUUCUAUUGCACCUUUCUUUUUGGGAAUUAGAGUGAUGAAUGAUGCAUUACAUGACCUUACCAUGUAGCAAUGCUGGUGGAAGCGAUUAAGAGCCCCCAUUAAGUCUAGUUUGAUAAUCUCCCAAGAAUGCUGAAAAAAAAAGCCAUUGUGAAACCAUCGGGACCUGGGCUUUUGUCAGGAGCACAUGAAUUGAUUGUUGCCUUCACUUCAUCUUCUUCAAAUGAUCUUUCCAGCCAUGUCUUCUCCUCCACAUUGAGUGUAGCUAAGUUUUCAAACUUAUCCCUAGGUCUCCAUGGUUCACUUUCAGUGUAGAGAUCUUGAUAGAAAUUCAGGAUUUCAGCCUUAAUUUCCUCAUUAUCUUCACAGAUGUCUUCCCCUAUCAUCAGCUUAUCUAUACAGUUAGUUCUUCUGUUAGAGUUUGCCAUUUUUGGAAGAAUUUGGUGUUCCUGUCUCCUUCUUUGAGCCAUAGGCAUCUGGACUUUUGCCUCCAAGAGAUCUCUUCCGCCUUUGCCAUUCGUUGUAAUUCCAUUUUCAUGUGCAUUGAUUUCUCUUUUUCUUCUUGAGUCAUCAAUCUGCCUUCAGUUGCUGAUUGUAGAAGAGCUAGGUAUUCUAGAGUUUUAGUCUUCCUUGCUUCCGACUGGCCAAAAAAUUCCUUAUUCCAGCUUGUUAUGUCCUUUUUUAGAUAUUUAAGCUUCUGCAAAAGGAUUAAGUCUAGGCUGCCAUCGACUGAGUAUCCAAGCCACCAUUCCUUGACUUUGUCUAAGAAGCCAUCAGCCUGAAGCCACAUAUUUUCAAACUUAAAAUAUGAUGGGUUGGCUGCCCAAUCUCCACAUUCCAAAAGCAAAGUCCUGUGAUCAGAGACAACUUUGGGAAGGGCUAGUUGCUUGAUUGCAUUGAAGCUGUCAUUGGGUUGGCUGCCCAAUCUCCACAUUCCAGAAGCAAAGGCCUGUGAUCAGAGACAACUUUGGGAAGGGCUAGUUGCUUGAUUGCAUUGAAGCUGUCAUUCCAUUCUGGGGAGAUGAGGAACUUGUCUAUUCUGGAUGCCUGGAGUGAAUCUUCACCUCUAAGUAUAGUGGGCCCCCUGAAGAGGCAGGUCUAUGAUUCCCAAUUCUUGGAUGAUAUCAGAGAAGGAUUUCAUGGCCUAGAUCUUCUUAUGCAAUUAUAUCUUUCACUCUCAAAUCUACAAACGUUGAAAUCACCCCCUAUGACCCAUUGCUCAUUCCAUAUUCCCCAGAUUGCUGCUAGUUCUUGCCAAAAAAUCUCCCUAUCUGAGUUGUUGUGAGGCCCAUAGACCCCUGUGAAGCACCAUCUGAAGUCCUCCAAUGCACUUUCAAACAUACAUGUAAUUGUAUAAUGGCCUUGGUGUAUCUCUAUGUUCAGUCAUAUCCUUUUAUCCCACAAAACAAUGAUGCCCCCACUUCUGACUGUUGAUUUUAAAACUGCCCAAUCGACCCAUCUUUAUCCCAAACUUGUCUAAUCCAUAGUAUAGACCAUUCUUCAAUUUUUGUUUCCUGAAGACACACUAUAUCCGCUCUCCAUUUAUGAAUUAGUGACUUAAUUGUGCUCCUCUUUUCUGCCUCGUUAAGGCCCCUAACAUUCCAACUUAAUAUUUUGAUUUUCAUCCAGAAAAGGCUUUGUAUUGCUUGUCCCUUUCCCCAACCUUCCUUCCUUCGUAAUUUAUACCCCAUCGUAGUCUUUCCAACCCUAGAGACUGCUUUCUCUUUCCUUUUGAAAUGGUCUUGAUUGCAGAUUUGUUUUUGGAUUUGUUCUUGUCUUUUAUGCUCCAUUCUAAGAAUCAUAUCGAAUAUUUCAUGUUCGAAACCUGCCACAUUAACACCGAAGACCUUGCAUGCUUUUAACAACACUGAUUUGGUCCAUCUUGAAGUUUCAAUUAUUGCUGGAGUUCCCAAUUCUCGAGAGUUUGGUUGGUCCAUACCAUGCCAAGGGAGAGGCAAUGUCUCAGGAGAGGAGAGGUCUGCUUCGGAGCUACUUACCACUCCAAAAGAGUUAUUCGAGGGAGAUCUUGGUAUUAUCUGAUUCAUAGGCUCAGCUUCAUCAUCAGCUUCAGUGAGGGAAUCACAUGCAAAGAUUUCUGGCCUGAGCUCUGAACGUUGGACAUCUUCUGACGCUUCAAUUUCAGCAUAAAGGGGGUCAAAUCUGUUUGUAAAUGGUAUUGGGGUUUUUGGCCUGAGCUCUGAACGUUGGACAUCUUCUGACGCUUCAAUUUCAGCAUAAAGGGGGUCAAAUCUGUUUGUAAAUGGUAUUGGGCUAUUACGACUUGAGCAAGGGUCAAGAAGAGACUCAACAGGCUUCCAUAUUUUCCUAUUGGGUCUAUCGGAAUUUGUGAUUUGUGACUUUGGGCCUUUUGGGCCUUUUGAGUAGUAAGAGUGAUCCAAGUUCCGACCCCACCUCCUACUCCCCUCAUCACUUUUUUAUUGGGCUGGGAUAGUGGAAUCCUACGUGGCAGAUUCCCCACUUUGGCAUGUGACUCAUUAAAUGAGUUUGAAUUAAAAUACGGGUUCUAGAAAGGCAUAUAGGAAGGAAUGGAGAAAUUCGGAAUGAAGAAAUCGAAUAUGAAAGAAAAGACAAAGAAAUGAGAGAAUAUCGGAUUUCUUUGGAUCUGAGGUAAAUCUUGUCUAUUUCAACCCCCCUAGAUUCGGAUUCGACUUUUGAGCCUUUCAACAAUUAACCAAUUUAACCUUCCGAAUAUGUAUUACGUAUUCAAAUUCGGUGGAACGAGAGGAGAAAAAAAAAAGAGAUAGAAUCCAAUUCUUCAGAUACUUUAUCUAAGAAACUCUACCCAUCUAGGCCUAGAACAUAGAUGGAGUAUAUCUCGCCAAACUGGAUAAAGCUAUUAUUCUAAUCUAGACUGUAAAAGAAUAUGUAUGUUGAUUCACAUCAAUUAAUUAGAGAUUAAUUCGACUUAAAGAUCUUGUGAUUCAUGUAAAUACUUAACACGUCCAAGCAGGAAUUAACAGGAUACUUAUGAAAGCAGAGAGAUGCAGCAAUCCAACAACCAUGUGUAAAAUUGAGUGGGAGAAUACACAUACUGGAUUUGAGUUUUUCAUCAAGUGCCCAAUCAAGAGCCUUUUGUGCAUCUUCAGUCAAAGGAGGAUGCUCGGGACUGAAAAACCACAUGUCAGCUUUUCCAAGUACUUUGAUAGUUUCUUCACGUACUUUAAAGAGAGUAAUGCUGUUCGCCCUCAAAUAUUUUGAAGCAAAAUUUGUCCCUGCAAAUGUUGGAAGUAAAUAAACAUUCUAACAUGAUUUAGCAGCAGAAUGAACAUUCAUGGAAGCUACUUCACCAAAAUGAUUAAAGCAGCUUAAAUCACAGUCGAAGUGUAAGCAAAUUACUGAAAGACCCCUUCUAUCAAUUAAAUAUCUUCUUAUAUUAUCUCUGACAAUACUAUAAAAAUAUGCAGUCAUAAUCUCUAAAUGUUGCUUCAGCCUUCAGUAUGUAUCUGAAUUAUAUUUGAGGUGGAAAGUGUCCUUAAUACACAUAAGCUAAAAUCGACGAAGUGACAUUUCCCAUCAUCUUAUAAGUGCUAUAUCUCGACUUCGACAAGCCACAUUGUUCGAAGACAUAAGCUAAAAUCCAGAGAAUUGCCUAUCCAAUUAACUUCCAAUCAUGUGCCGACCAAUUUCUUUUUGGUUCCUCUAGAAAGCAACUAAUAUCAGAAGCCAAAGCACUUAUAUAUUUCACCUCAAUAACCUCCCAACCCAACUGAAAUAUUUCCACAUAUUAAAAAUCUUGUACAUAUCACAAUGUUGUAUAGCAAAUGUCAUGUCCACUAAAUGUACUAAAAUGUAAAAUGGCUUUGACAACUACAUAAUGUUAUUGGGUAGGUUCUGUAAGGUGUCGGAUUUUAGAAGAGUAAUCUCAUUCAAGGAUCAGUCAAUCAAUGAAUGUAUAAAAGGAUUAGAUGGACCCAACUACACUGGAGUUCCCUAGACUAAGUAAGUGUUCUAAACAUGCAAAACCUGAAAUACCUCCUCUUACUAAAAUCUCUAGCAAAUCCAUUGUUAUAAGAUAUGUCACAUUCUCAAAUUAAAGAAUGAGCGCAACAUGGAAUUAACUUCUGAUAGUUUAUUCAAGUGUUAGUUUGAUUAAUUAGCAUCACGAGUAACAAAAAGUAAAGAGCUUCCUUUCCGUUUACAGGAUCGAAUAGAGCAUCUCUACCAAAACAAAUAAAUACUUUCUUAGGGAAGGGAUAAAUUAACAAACCUUCAAUCAAAAUUCCCAUGAGAAGAGCUUCUGUUCCAGUAGUGGGAUAUUUAAGUUUUCUUGCUUCCAAUUCACCCAUGGCAAAUGAUUUUAUUGCCUUUGACGACCAUCUAAAAUUUCAUUCACCCAUUUCAAGAUACCUCAAAACAAAUCCAAAUACCAACAGAUAAACAAACACAAGAUAAACAAUAAUACAAAUCAAACCACCAAUAUAGCCCGAAAAUCUCCUCCUCCUUUCCGGGGCAGCCAAAGAAACAAAACAAGAAAGAAAAAGGUAAAUACUCACUUAGGAAUUUUCUCUGCAGAUACUGCAGCCUCUGACUUCCUGCAAUAACAAAAUGAAGCUAGGGUGUUAUCUUUAUAGCACUGAUUCAAAUUUGAUUAACAGAGAAAUUAUACAAUCAACCAAUAAACUACACGUCAAUCCUAAAUGAGUUGGGUCAACUACAUGAAUCCUAUACAUCCACAUCCUCUCUAUUCGAGCCUAUCUCAUUUUAAUAUAAAAUACUCCCUCUGUCCCAAUUUAUGUAAUACACUUUCUUCUUAGUCUAUUCCAAAAAAGAUACAUUUCUAUGUUUAGAAAAAAUUAAAUCUAAACUUCUCAUGUUACAUGAUUUAUAGUUAUACAAAUAUGGCUUGAUUAGACAACAAGUUUCAAAAUUCUUUCAUUCUUUCUUAAACUCCAUGCUUCAUAAAAUGGGACAGAGAGAGUAGAUUAUACUUUUAGAGAAAAUUAGAGAUUCUCCAAAUCAAACCCUUAUCCAUAGACAAACAAUUACUUCAAUUAAAACUACUUAAUAUAGUCUUAACCCCAAAAAAGGCACAAAGAGGAAACACUUUAUAUGAGAUAAAUGCAAGAAUGAGCAAAGGGUAGGUGUUAGAACUUACCCAUAAGGAAGGCUAAAGGAGACAGUAGCUUUAAUGGGGCAAUGUUUUGUAAGAAAUGGUUUGAAAUUGUUGGACUGAAGAGAGAUUUUGAUUGGAGUACCAAGCCAUUGACUAUGCAAAUUUUGUGGGUUUGUUGUACAGAUAGACGAAUUGGGUCCUACUCUGUAAUUGAGCUGGUUGAUGCCAUUUGAAGUGGCUGCCACUGUGGAGAGAGCAGCCAUUUUUGCGGCAAGAUUCUGCUCCAAUCUGAGAAAAUGGGUUGAAUAGUUGGACCUUCUUUCUGGUUGGGAUGAUGAGAUGAUAAGAAACGACGACAUUAAUUGACCUUGGGCUUUUGCGUCUCUUAUGGGCUUAAGCGAGUCUGGCCCAUUAUACUAGCCAGCUUUCCGACUGAUAAUUGAAAGAUGAGAAUUUUUCAUAAAGUAUCAUCUUUUAGUGCUAAUUAAUCAUUAAUAGAAAUCUUUUGCUAUAUUACGUCUUAUAGAUAUCUUUUUAAUGUAUUUAAUGUAUUCAAAGUGUUGUAUUUAAUAAUACAUCACAAAAGAUCAGCGUACAAACAGGAAUGCCAGCUAAUCGCAGAUAUGUAUUUACAUGUAUUCAAGCGCUAUUAACGCUAAAUACAUAACGGAUCUGCGAAAGAUAUGGAACGAUAAAACUUUUAAAAAUGGAAGGGAAUCAAAUCAAUUUUGAUUUCCCUAAUUUUACUCAAAAAAACAUAUACUCCAUGAAUUUAUAUUUUUCUGAAGUUAACAAACCCAGAAAGAAGCGAAAAAACAAAGCAAGAGUCGUCAAAUUUGUGCGAUUUUCUUCUUCUUCUUUCUGAUUGAUACAGUACAAAAAAAUUUCUAUACAAAAGACUCUAUAACUCUUUUAUAGAGAUGGCAAGCUUGACAGUUUUAUUGCAUCAUUCUGGAAAGUGGAACAAUGAGGGGAAUUAUAUCGAUUUUUCCAUUGAGGAAAUCCUAAUUAAGGGGUAUACCUCCUUUAAUGAUCUAGUUGCUUCAAUUUCCACUCAACUGGGUAUAGAUUUGAGCACAAAUACCAUUAAAAUUCAAUACAAUGUUGAAGGAAAUCGCACACCAAUGGAAAUACAUAAUGAUAUGGGUUUGAGAGUGAAUGUAGAAAUGAAGAAAGACAACAGAGAAUUUGGGAUGUAUCCUUUGUGCAUAACAACUAUGGAAAAAGAGCUUAUCUCCGGAGAUGGUUUAAAUCAAGGCGACAUUGCGCAGAUAGACGAAGCAGUUCAAAGGUACGAUUCCGAUACAGAUGAUAUACUGGCUAUAGAACUUGCCAAUUUAGGAGAAGCUGAGUGUUCGAACUCCACAAGGAUUUGAUAAUCUCAAAAACUGAUCAAAAGGAGGUUAUGGCUGGACAAAUUUAUUAGGAUAAGGCUACAUUGAAAGAAGUGAUGGAGAAUUAUGCUAUAGCUCAAAAGUUUCGGGUUGAUCGGUCUAAUGCUGUCAGGUUUGAUGUUUGUUUAACUUUGUUGUAUUUUAGUUGUAUUUGAGUGUUACCUCCAGAUGAUGAACACGAAUGACAAUUUAUAUUUGAUUAGUAUUCAUAAUUAUAUGUAUUCAUAUGUAUUUGACUGUUGGAAAAAUUACAACACUAGCUUUAAUUAAUUUAGAAUUAUAACUACUAUUCUGUUAAGUGCUUGUAAAUUCAUUCGAAUGUAUUUACGUGUAUUAAUUGUAUUUAUUCACAUAAAACAAUAUUGGAAUUGGUUUGCAUACCAAAUUACAUAUACAGAGAGUUUAAUUUGGUACUUUAUUACUAGGUAGUAUAUUAUGUCAUAUUCGUUAAGUUGUCUGAUGUCUAUUAUUUAUUUUCCAGCUAUGCAUUAAUAUGUAUUUCAGAAGAUUUUGAUUGGAGGUUUAAGGCUUCAAGCAUAAACAAAUCGGAGUUAUUCAAGGUGAGAGAAUUCAAUGACAAUCAUACAUGUCCUCUGAAGGAUAAAGUGUAUGAGCAGCGGCAAGCUAGUAGCAGCCUUAUAAGUGGUAUUAUAAGGCCAAAGCUUACAAACCAUAAGAGGAAAUACAUGCCGAGGGACAUUAUUGAUGAUGUGAAAUCAGAUUUAGGUGUAGAUGUUAGCUACAUGUUGGCGUGGAGGGCUAAAGAAAAGGUAAUGAAUUUUCUUAGAGGUGAACCGGCAGAUUCAUACAUAAAAUUAACGGGAUACUUAUAUACAAUGGAUAAGACAUAUCCAGGUUCUCACAUCAGAAUGGAAAAAUCGUCAAAUAAUGAAUUCAUGUACGUGUAUAUUUCAUUAUAUGCCUUUAUAAGGGGGUUUCAUCAUUGUAGACCAAUUGUUGUUGUGGACGGAAGUCACCUAAAAUCAUACUACACCGGGACAUUCGUUUCUGCAAUCACGUUAGAUGGUGCAGGUGAAUACAUCAAUAAUAAUACAAUUUGUUAAUAUUUAAAGCUAUUGGAAAGCAUGUAUUUAGAAACAAUUAUAUUCAAUUGUAUUUAACAGGUCAUAUAUUGCCACUAGCAUAUGGUGUUAUUGAUUCAGAGAACGAUGCUGCUUGGACGUGGUUCUUUGAGCAAUUCAAGAUAGCAUACGGUGUAAGGGAAAACAUGUGCAUUGUUUCGGAUAGAAAUGAGAGUAUCAUUAAAUCUGUAUCGAGGGUAUAUCCUGAUGUACCACAUUUUGCUUGCAUAUGGCAUCUAUGGAAUAACGCAUACAAGAAAUUCAAAAAGAGUCAUGCCAAGUUGAGUGAGAUAUACUUCUCGAUGGCAAAAGCAUACACACAAACUGAAUUUGAUAGUCUGAUGGAGAAGUUUGAGAAGGUAGACAUUAGGGUGAAAGAAUACUUAGAGUUAGCUGGUUAUGAAAGUGGGCUUCAAUACUGAGAAGGUGGAGAAGGUAGAUAUUAGGGUGAAAGAAUACUUAGAGUUAGCUGGUUAUGAAAAGUGGGCUAGGUUGUAUGCACCUGUUAACAGGGGAUGGACAAUGACGUCAAAUAUUGCUGAGUCAAUCAAUGCAGCACUAGUUUCAGCAAGGGAAUUGCCAAUAUGACUUCCUUGAAGAAGUUAGGAAGAUGUUUGGUCGUUGGAAUUGUAGUAACCGCAAAGAAGCUACUCAGACAUACAAUGGUAAAAAAUACCAGGAAAUGCUGGAGGUGAAUGAGACUAUGUGUACCCGUAUGACUGUAAGUUAAUUUUUAUGAAUAUUUACUUGAACUAGUAAAUUAUAUAGUUGAAUACAGGUAAAUACAUGUGAUGAUUAAGACUGUAUGCCCGUGAUAAUGAUUACAAUGGAAUUCAGUUGAUUGAUAUUGUUUAAAUUGAUUGUAUAUACCUGAAAACAAUUGCUCAAAAAAGGUUGAAUACAAAUGCAAAUACACUUGAAUACAGUUGCAUACAGUUGCUGGAAACGGCUGAAUACAACUGAAAUUGGAUGAAGUUUUAAUUUUCGAAGUUGAUAGUAACCACUUAACUCAGCCGUAUAUAUUUAUUAAUUCAUGUAAAUGUGUUCAAAACUAAUAUUUAUGUUUUUAAAUGUAGGUGGUUCCCUCAACUGAAUAAUUACAUACUGUUAACGAUGGAGGGAGGAAUUACACAGUCUGCCUGCUCGAGAAAAAAUAUGUUUGUUGGAGGUUCCAAGUUGAUGAAUUGCCAUGCCCACAUGCCUGGGCUGUAUUGAAGAGCAAGUUUUUAAUGCCCGAAGAAUAUUGCUCUAGCUAUUACAAGCCAAGUACAAUUGUAAUGAUAUAUGAUGUGCCAGUGUACCCGCUACCUGACAAAAAUGACUGGAAUAUAUCAGAGCAUGUUGCAGAGUAGGUUGUACUACCACCUAAAUGGAAAAGACCUCCUGAAAGGCCAAAGAAGAAGCGCGACAAAAAUUUAAGUGAAUUGUUGUUGCCGAAAAAUCAGCAUUCAUGUAGCAUAUGUGGACAUGGAGGACAUAACAAGCAAACUUGUAGGAAUGCUCCACGUAAUUAAUCGUUAUAUUCUAUCAUGUAUGGGUGAUUCGACAAUUUGUCAACACUUAUUGAUAUAUUAUGAUAUUAUCAGCUAUAAUAUAUUCGUUUUUCAAAUUAAUAUAAUGUGGAACGACUUUCGUUAUUACUAUCGAAUUUUAUUUAGUUCAAGUAUAUUUAUAUAUAUGAACAUGUAUGAAGUGAGAGUAUCUUAGUAUAGUUGAAAUCAACUAUAUCAAAUUCUUAAUACAAGUGAAUAAGGCAUGUUAAUACAGCAUGUUAAUAAGACAGUUUAAUUCAAUUUCCUUUGGAUGAAUACAUUGUAAUACAUUUGAAUAUAUAUCUGGACAGUUGCUUCAACACUUUCAAUUUAACGGACAUUGGAUGAACAUAGUUAAUCCAAUGGUUCAAUAUAUUUGAAGACAACAUGUUCAACAAUGUUGACAAUAGGUUAAUAAUAUAGUUCAAUUAAAUUGUUUAUAGUUGAAUCCUUGUGAAUCACAAAAAGAUACAGUUGAAUACAUGUGAAUAAUACCUCAGAAUACACGUUAAUACAAAUGAAUGGAUACAGCUGAAUACAUCUGUAUGGAUACAGUUGAAUAUACAUGCAUAGCAACUGUACGCAACUGGUCUAAACACAUUAAUACAACUGAAAUGACAUGAGUAAUAUAGGUUAAUACAAUCAACUAAACAGAAUAACACAACUAAAUACAUCUACAUAAUACUGAAAGAUAAAGCUAAUUUUACGCAGCUGAAUACAAUUCAAAAAUUGGCAUUAUCAAAAAUCAUUCAGCAUACAAAAAGUUUCAGAAACAUGUGCGUUAACUAAAACAUGUUCAAGCAAACUUAACCAAAUUUCUUAAUGUAAGUUAAUAGCAUCUACGACCAAAACAACUACAAUCAGUAUCAUUGUUCAAACUAUACUCAAAAACUCAAAAAAGAAAAGCUAUUCUAAAACUAUCUGCAUCUUUGCUUCCGACUCAGAGAUUUGCCUUUCAAUCUUUGAAGGUGCUUCACUCUCGCUUAUUGCACCAGCAUCUAUCUUGCGCAUGGCAUACUCCCAUAACAGAGCACCAUAUCUUUGACGGAGAAGAGUGGCAUCAAAUGGUAUUUUUUGUGUAAUCUCUCCAAUAGUGCUCAGAUACUCCGGGAAUGCUGCAACGUGCACUCCACAAUCCCUAAAAAAUAAUAGAUUGAAACAGAAUAUAAAAUAAUUAAUAUAUUUGUAUAAAAACAAAUAAGAAUGAUGAUUGCAUACUUAGAUGCUGCUUGCUUUCUGUUGAGGCAGAUUUGGAACGAAGAUAACCUCAAAAGGUUCGUUCUGAUCCUUGUUUGUGUAUGCGGGAUAAGCAGACCAGUCAAUGCCUUGACUAUCUAUGUAAAAUCCACUAAUUUACAGAUACAGAGGUAGUAGAUUAGCUAGCUUUACAAUCUCAGAGACUACGUAAGCAUUAUGACCGGAAGACGUGUACGAGUCAUACACUUUGAUACAUCUAUGGAGUAGAAGCCACUAAUUGACAGAUACAAAGGUAGUAGCUUAACUAGCUUUAUAAUCUCAGAGACUACGUAUGCAUCGUGACCGGAAGAUGUGUACGAGUCGUACACUUUGAUACAUCUAUCUUUGAAGGUCACAACAACCAACACCCAAUGAAGUUUUUCCUUCAAGUUCACUAGUAUCAAGAUAUUUUCCACGGUAUGCCAGGGUACAUUAGCAUGCAAUCUGUAGCCCUUAAUAUACUCACAUACAACGUCUUCUUGUUUGGCUACAUUAGCAUCGCUAUCUGUAUCUUCGUACCUGUCAAAUAUCUCAGCUAUUCUUGUCUUGAAAAUACAGUCGAUAAUAGUAAACGUGAAGUCCCUAUGCUGAUUGUACUUGCCCAUCUUUCGCACAUAGUAGAAUAUGACAUCCAUAUGCUAUAAAUAAAAGAGGUUAGUAGAUAGUGUGAGUUUAUUUGCUUGAAGUAAGAAUUAAUAUGUAGGAAUACCUCAAUACAAGUGCUAGAAAAUAUAGAUAUACAUUGUAAUACAUGUUAAUACAAUUGUAUACAGCUUAUGGGAUAGAGUUGAAUUCAACUGACAUUGAAUAAAGACAACUAAUUCAAUUCAUUAAUAUAGAUGAAUAUAAGAAGCUGAGUAGUGUUGAAAAUAAGUUUUUCAUACAGUUUAAGUCAACUGAUUUGGGUAGAAUACACUGUAAUUGAGUUGUAUUCAGGUCUACCAUUGAAACAGUUAACUGCCAUUGGAUGAAUACAUGGAAUUCAACUGUUCAAUCCAUUUGAAUAUGACAGGUUCGAUUCAUUUUACUAUAGCAUAAUAAAAGAGUUCAAUUCAGUUGAACUGUUUGCUCAGUACAUUGGUAAUAACAGGAAAAUUCAGCUGAAUACAACUGUAAACUUGUCCAUUGUACUUGUAGACAAAGCAGUUUAAGGCUCUCAGCCAGACAAACUGCAACUAAAGAUAAGGUGUUCUGGAAUUCGUCCAUAUCACUCAGAAAUAGACAAAUGCCACUGGAAACAUAUAUAUGAUUGACAUGUAAAGAAAUGGAAAUUCCAGACUAAUAUAAAAGUCAUCCUUAAUCACAAAAACAUCACCGAGCUAACAGCUAACCUCAGAUGCAACUGCUUUAGUCAAACAACAACAACCCAGUAUAAUCUCAUUUAGUAGGGUCUGGAGAGGGUAGUGUGUACGCAGACCUUACCCCUACCUUGGGUAGAGAGGCUGUUUCCAAAUAGACCCCCGGCAUCCUUCCCUCCAAGAACUUUCCACCUUUCUCUUGGAGAGACUCGAACUCACAACCUCUCGGUUGGAAGUGGGGGUUGCUUACCAUCAGAGCAACCCCUCUUGUCCAUGCAACUGCUUUAGUCCUCCACUUAUUUUCUCAUAAACGUCAACUAAAUGCAGAGGAGGAAAAGGACAGAAUGAGGUAUCAGUCAUAUAUGAUCUCAGAACAAUUUCUUUCUAAAAUCGCACUACUUCACGAAUUAAUAAUUUAUUAUAUUAACAUUAGUACUAAUUUUUUAGUUCUCAUCACUAAUUUGUAAUGCUUACUGGCUCUAACAAUUAGGAAUUCCAGCUUCAACCUAAUAAUAAACUAAACAAAGUUAAUUCAAGUGCUAGAAAAUAUAGAUAUACACUGUAAUACAUGUUAAUACAACUGUAAUACAGCUUAUGGGAUACAGUUAAAUUCAACUGACAUUGAAUAAAGACAACUAAUGCAAUUCAUUAAUAUAGAUGAAUAUAACAUGCUAGAGUAGUGUUGAAAAGUAGGUUUUGAAUACAGUUUAAGUCAACUGAUUUGAGUAGAAUACACUGUAAUUCAGUUAUAUUCAGGUCUACCAUUGAAACAGUUAACUGUCAUUGGAUGAAUACAUGGAAUUCAACUGUUCAAUUCAUUUGAAUAUGACAUAUUCAAUUCAUUUUACUAUAGCUUAAUAAAAGAGUUCAAUUCAGUUGAACUAUAGCUCAGUACAUUGGAAAUAAAAGGAAAAUACAGCUGAAUACAAGGUAAACCAGUUUUUGAGAAAGACUCACAUUGUUAUCCCAUAACUUCCCGUCAAUGUAUAGAAGGUAACGCCAGUUUUUGGAAUCAACUUGAUCAACUCCAAAAUCCAAUGGAAUGUGAAGUAUGGACUUGUUUUUCUUGUAAUGGUCGUCAAGAUUACCUCUACAAGUAUGAUAUAAAACUCAUUAUGUACAUACCUAAAAAAUGAAAACAUAAUACAAUGAACAAGGGAAAACUUACUUCUGAUCAUGCCUUGCUAGAAGACCAUCACGGACCCACUUGUCAUAUUCUUGAAUGAGUAACAUAGGAUGUGGCCCCGUUAUUGGAUCUUCCUCAAACGGGUGUCUUUUCUCAAAUAUGGGUGUCAACUUUACGGAGGAACAUGCUGUAAAUAUAAUUUCUGUUUAUUGAGUACUAUAAAUGAUUCAAUAACGAUGAAUGCUGAUCAACUUUACGGAGGAACAUGCUGUAAAUUCAAUUUGUGUUUAUUGAGUACUAUAAAUGAUCCAAUCACGAUGAAUGCUGAAUAUUACGUUUGUAAAAUCACUUACCUCCUGAGUCGAAGUUAGAGUGAUAAGGCGAAGAGUUCCAUCUACUUGGUCGCCUAUUUCGUUGAGGUUUCACUGGUGUGGCUUCAACUUUUUUCGCACUUGCAUGAACAACUAUUCUAGUUUCUGGAAUUUGACUGGGUAGAAACUUGUCGUCAGUGCAAAUUGAGAAACAUAGAAUUCUUUAGGUACCUCAUCUUGAUUUGUGGUAGAUGGUAUGAUGGACGGUGCCUCUGGAGUAGUUUGCUGGUAGUUGUAUGUAUCAUUGUUAGGAAUGUAACUUAAUGUUAGAAAUAAGAUUAAAUGCAUAUAAGUUGCUAGUAUACAUUACAAAGAGGUACAAAAAAGAUAUAAAUGCAGAAUUGAUAUUGACGCUGUUGAAAUGAAACUACAUAUCUCUUUGAAUAGAGCAGAAUACACCCAACAUACAUGUAAAUAUAACGAAAUAAAGAUACUAUAGAAGAAAAAGAACACACUAUACAAAGAUAUACAAAAAUACAAAAAGAAAUAUAUGAAUACAACAUAAUACAUGUAACAAUGUGAUUAGGUAUAAAUGGAGUUGAAUUGAAACUCUCGAUUAAUGCAGAAUACAGAAGAAUAGACCCAAAUACAUGUAAAUACAACAUGAAAAAGCUACAUUAGAAGAAGUAAACAAACUAUAAAUACACUAUACAAAGAGGUAAAAAAAAUACAAGAAGAAACAUAUGAAUAUAAAGGAAUACAUGUAACAUUUAGAUUAGAUAUAAAUGCAGAUGAAAUAAAACUGCAGAUUAUUGCCGAAUACAGCAGAAUACUCCCCCAAAUAAAUGUAAAUACAGCAAAAUAGAGUGGCUAUAUUAAAACAGUUAUCAAUAUAGCUAAAUAUAUAUGUUCAGUAUCUUAACUUGGGGUAUACCUCAUGAUUUUCUCCGACAUCUGGGUCAAUGCCAACAUCAUUUCUCAUUGUAGGUUCAGUUUGCUGAUUUGGUUGAAGACGGUCUGAAAGCAUCCUGAAGUUAUCAUUGAUCAAUGUCCUUAGAGACUUGAACUCUCCAACAACCUUAACAAGACAAAAUAGUUAGAAAAGUACUAACACACAUAGCUAUCAAACUUUAUUGAAGAUAAUGGGUGGGUAUCACGUAUUCUUUGAAUACUUUUAGUUCUUGCCUCAAAGAAGAUACUUCAUCAUUUUGGCCUUUGGGGCGCUGAUGGUCAUGAAAAAGUUUAUGUCCACUUUCAGAAACACAAACAGGAGGAAGUUUGGGCUGAUAUUCUGGUUCUUUUGUAGGAAUCUUGGGUUGUUCCUUGAACUUCUUAUGUGGCGGUGAUGAAGAUGGACCAACACUUUCAACAAGUUUCUUCUUAGAUUGAAGAUUGGGUGUAGGAUAAAAGUCAUCCACAUCCUGUCUCGAUUUUUCUGAAUGCGCAGGAGUAUGUAUUUCUCAACAUCGGGGCACACUUGAGGAAUCUGAAUAACAGCAAGCUCUACAUCAAGAGGAGUGAUGUCCUCAGAACACAAUCUGAGAACAAAAAAUAAGAUAAGACUUACAGGGUACAUAUUAAAAUAUAAUUGUAUAAUAUUGUAUUCACGUGUAUUUAACUCUGAUGUAUUUAGAUAUAGUAAAUUGUAUUCAUAUGUAUGCAUUAUUCAUGUAUGUAGGUCUUUGCAUCCAGUGUAUAUUACAGUAGGCUUCUCCUCUAACUAAAUGCAAAUGUAUGCAAACUAUAGGUGUAUUUGUGUUCAAUUAUCUUCAGAAUAAUGAUAAGAUUUGGAUAUUACCGUGUUUCCGGUGUCUUUGAACAUGCCGUUCAUCAAAUAAGAAAAUGUUGGCUAAUUUCCGAUGGUUUUCCAAUUGAGUAUUCUGGGGAGCACAUCGUCGACUCGGAAUGCAAUUUUGGAAUCAACAGAAGAACAACACUCAUAAAACCAGACCUGCAUAGCUAGGGGCAUCCCAGCGAUCAUGUAAUACUUCUUUACAACAUCAAACUUCUUGCUAAUCGAGUUUAUCAACAGCUCAAAUGCGCUUAUACCCAAUGAUAUUCGGAAUAGCGCCCACUCUCUACUACGUCAAAAUGUAGCCUCGGUAUAGUUGCACUAUUCUGCUCAGAUGAAAAUAUGAAGGUGUGGAUGAAAUACAACAAAGAAAUCUUCAAAGCAUCCUCAUCAUUGUCGGGACCCCAUGCCUUGUUAUUGAAGUAUUCUCUCAAUUGCCUCUUCUUUACAAUGUUAGCACUUCCAAAAUAAGUCAGAAUAAGCCUGUUUGGAGGAGUUUCGUGAAACUCAAAAUCUUGAUCUUUACCGACACAUUUGAGGCCAGUAACAAGAGCAAACUCCUUUAAGGUGAAAUGUAAUACAGUACCAAUAACGUAUACUUCAAGAACAUUGUUUGGAGUGCCAUUUAACUGUCUAGACAUGAAGCAUCUAAAGAGUUGAUGUUGAACAUCAAAUCGCUUCAUUCGAAGAAAUGAUCCAAAGCAUGUAUUCUCGAAUUGUUGCAACUGAUCGGGAGUAAGCAUUUGUCUUAGGUGUGAGACUAUAUCAGUGUUGGUGUAUCUACUGAUAUGGGGAGCUAAUUUGGGCUGUUGUUUCACAAACAAAUCAAUUCCCUGCAAUGAACAUUGUAAAAUACAUGUGAAUACAUAUGAAUACAUCAAAAAGACAUUUUAAGUUUUGUUUGAAUACAUUUAAUACAUGAUACAGUGAUAAGGAUAAAUCGCUUUUCAGACAACUACAAACAUAUAUACUACCAUAUGCUAAGAUACUUUGUAACAUACAGAUAUAAUACAAAGUAUUUUUGGAUGAAUAUACAUGAAUACAUAUGAAUGCUAAUGAAUACAUUUGAGGUCAAACUAGAUAAUUGAAUUAGCACAAUAUACAGUAACACACACUAAAUACACCAAAAUACAUAUGAAUGCAGAUAAAAUUUCAUUACAUAGAACUACUGGAAACAACCAAAUAAACACGAAUACAUAUGAAUACUAUUGAAGAAACAGAAUACACUAUACCAAAAAGGUUCAAAAAUACAAGAAGAUACAUUUGAAUACAACAGAAUACAUGUAAGAAAUACAAGUUACCUUUUAAUUUCUUGAAUCUUUUGCAGCUUUUUUCCUCUUUGCGCCAACUUGAAUAUUGGUUUCUUUUGAAGUUUCGUCAACUUGAACUGCUUUCAACUUGUCAUUUUGUAUUUUACUUCUUCUUUCGUCAACUUUGGAUGCCGAUACACCUGCAAAAUCUUUCUCCGCUUGAGUUAGUUGCAACGAGAAAGAAGGCCCAUCAAAAUUGAGAAUUUUGGUGGGUAUACCUCUAGGUGGUCUGUGGAUUGGGUUGGCUUCCGACAUUAUAGAGAAAACUCAAAAUAUCGUGGUGAUGAACAAAUAAAAUGGAAGAUAUAUCAGAAAAUUGUGUAAAUUCGAUACAAAAAUUAGAGAAACAAACUAAUGAAAAUGCAAUUUCGACCUACUUUAAUUUUAGGAUUGAACUAAAUUUAAACUUUUUGCUAUAAACUAAAAAGGGUAUUUAUAGAUUGUAAUAUUUUAAAAGGGUGUUUAUAGAAUAUAAAUAGGGUACUAACCUAUUCUAUAGGUGGUAAAAUUUCCUUGAAAAAUAGCCUGCAUUUGUAAAAUAAUUAAAAAAUAGUCAUUAUUUUGCUGCAACACGGAUAAUUCUGGCAAAAUAUACUCGAUAUUGGUGUACCUAUAUGUGAACUUCCAGCAUAAUAUGUUAGAACUCCAACACACGGAAAGUUUCAGCAUAAUAUACUUGAGAUUGGCGUACCUAUGUAUGAACUUCCAGCAUAUUAUGCUGGAUCGGUAUAUUAUGCUGGAACUCCAGUAUAUUAUGCUGGAAUAUUUUUCUGAUUUUGAAUAGUGUUUUCGCUCAGAUUUAUCUUUAUAUGAAAAGUGGCUAGAUUUCAAUUACUUUUGAAACAAUGGCUAUUUUUCAACUACUACUUGUAAAUCUAACUAUUUUUUAAUUUCACCAAAAAUCAAUAAUAACCUGAUUUACAACCGAUAAUUGAAAAAUAUCCAUAGUUUUAAAAGUUAUCGAAAUUAGUUGCUUUUUCAUGUAAAGGUAAAAUCUGAACAAAAACACUCUUAAAAUCCAAAAAAAUUGCAACAUAAUAUGCUGAAGUUCAAAUUUUUUACAUAUCAGAUUCAAGCAUAAUAUGCUGGAAUAUUAUAAUGUGCUGAAAUUCUAACACAAUAGGCUAGAAGUUUAUAUGCUUAAGUUCCAUAAUCCAGCAUAUUGUGCUGGAGCUUACCCUGUUUCGGCUAAAUAAUAGCUAUUUUUCCAUGACUUUAUAAAUACUGACUAUUUUUCGAUUACUAAUCCGAAAACUAGCUAGCCCAUGUUAUUUUCACCAAGUGUCGGAAGACGAGACCGAGCAGCAAGGCCAUGAUCCACAGAUGAACAGAUCACUUAUUCAAACAUCACACACCCGCCAUUAAAUAAUAUUUUAGUAAUUGAAGUUAGGGGUGUGCGUUCGAACCGGUUUAUCGAUAAAUCGAAUCGAUUAUUUGUAAUUGGUUUAUCGAUAUCGGUUUAUCGAUUUCGAUUUCGAUUUCAAAAUUUUCCUUAUCGAGUUAUCGAUUUCGAUUUCGAUUUUGUCCUCUUCGGUUAUCGGUUUAUUCAUAAACCGAUAAGAUAUAUUAAUUUUUUUAACUCUUAUUCUAUAGUACCCUUUCCUUUACCCUAAGUAUCUAACCCUAUUAUUUCAUCUACCACAUUUAAGGAAUGAUCAUAUUUAAAGCUCAAUGGAAUGAAGUUCAAGUUAAUGGAAAAUAGAAUUAGCCGUGAUGAUGUAUUUUUUCUAUACCGUUGGCAUGUUGGUGACAUAUAUUUGAUCCCUUACUUUAGUUUCGUUGCAUGUGCUUGUUGACAUAAUUUUUAUGUUAUAGAUGGUGUUCGUCUUAUUUUAGCUUUUCUUGUCCAUAUUAGUUGGCUGUGUUUAUAGCGAUAUACUUUCCGUGAAAUCCCGCAAAUUUUCUUAUUGAUGUAAAUGAUAAUCGAAUCGAUAAAUCGAAAUCGAAAAAAUCGAAACCUAAUUGAAACGAUAACGAUAAGCAUAUGUACAAAUCGAUAAUCAAUAAAUAACUAUCGAUAAUGGUCAAAAUCGAAUGCACACCCCUAAUUAAAUAAUUGAAGUUACUGAAAAUCAGGGGCUGAAAAGGAAAAAUUGAAUCUAAAAAAGUAGUGUUUAAGAGUAGUGUAAUUAAGUGAAAUUCGUUCUGUAUUGUACAAGAAAAGAAUUACAUUUGUGUAUGUGCUCUCAAUAAAGAAUUAAAACAAUUUCGUGCCUUCUUUGUUCUUUAGCUGUAGACAACAUGAACUUUUGCUGAUUUUUUAAGUGAAAACAAGAUAGAUGAAGAAAUAUACACAUUUACACUAACCCUUAAGAACCAAAAAUGGAUAACAUAGAAAACCACUGAUUACUGACCCUGCUAGUCUCAUUUCAAAAGCAAAGCUCCCAAAUCCUAUCAAGACAUGUAGUUCCACAGAAGUGUAACGAAUGAAGCUGCAUACAAACUAAGCAGUACACCAAAAUUUUCUUCAUUAUCUACAGAAAAUAGCAAUGUUAAAUCAAGCAUAUGUUUGUCACUCCCAAGCAUUUUCUCUUACUAGUGCUCUGUCCUAUUCAGUUUUACCCAUAAUUGGGUUAUUCAAUUCUGUACAAUGAUGGUCAACAAUAUGAGACAAAGACUUGAAUGAGUGAUUGCUCCUUGUGUAUCAGUAACGUCAGUUUCCUGGCUUCUUGACUUCCUUGCAUUGGUGCGCAACCUGUGCAGCUAUGGCACCAAAGUGCACAAAGAAUUGUCGACUAAUCUCCACGAUGAGGUGGUGUGAAUCCUAUACAUCGAUUAAGAUUUUCGAUGGAUGCAAAUGACCUUGUUUGUCAGCAGUAAAGAACCUCCAAAUUCCAUUCCCUUUCCUUUCUCCACCUGUCGAGACCUACAGAGACUACAGAAGCUCAUUGUAGCAACAAAUCCUCGUCUCUCUGCAAUUGCUUGAGCCUCCUUUUUGCAUAUACAGUGAUCAACACCGUUGUAGCAACAGUGAAACUAAAUCCAAGAACAUUAAGAAUAAUCUGUGGAGCUGACAAAAAACGUUGCUCUUGCGAAGCAUUUGCAAGAGUCUUUAUCAGGAUGCCACUGCAAAGAAAGUUGGAAGAAAACGUAUUCACCAAGUGAAACUUUUAAUGAUGAAUAUGAGAUUAUGUAUUGUAGUGGAGCAGCAUACACCGAAUGAAACCCUCUUAAAAUUACUAAAGGUCUGCUUUGUAUUCAGUUUGCUUUCUCCCUGAAAAACCAACAAAAAUCCAAAAGCUCAAAACCAUGGAGCUCUUCCCAUCUCACUGCACCCCUCCCGUGAUCCCCUUCCAUUACACCCCUCCAAAGCAAUAGUAUAGAGGAAAGGAACCAAAACUCAAAGAAUCACGGACAAGCAGAGUACAAAUCGAGAAAGGUAAUAAGACUUAUGCUAAUAGAAAUACAGAAAGUGUCGAAUUCAAAAACUCUAGAAAAGAAGCCAGGAGAAGACAAAAAUUCUACUACGUCCCUCCAAAGCAAUAGUAUAGCGGAAAGGAACCAAAACUCAAAGAAUCACAGACAAGCAGAGUACAAAUCGAGAAAGGCAAUAAGACUUAUGCUAAUAGGAAUACAGAAAGUGUCGAAUUCAAAAACUCUACCAAAGAAGCCAGGAGAAGACAAAAAAAUCAAUUGCUUUAUUCUAAAAGCAUGUAUUCAUGGGACUACAACUACCUUAAAAGGAUUUAACUAGAGAAUUCUCCACCAUUUUUUUCUUGUAUAAAUAUGUCAGCCGAAUGAUUCCCAGUCACAAGCUACUGUUUUUGUCUCCACACUUUGUGCCACUCACUCAAAUUUAACAGUCAUAUGAAGAACCAUUGUUGUCAAUGUGAGCCCUUCCUUUCAAUUAACUACUGAUUAUUUAUGGGUUUUGGAAACACUUUAAAGUGUUUAAUUAGACUUAUAAACUUUAGUUACAGCCACGAAAAUGAAUCUUUUUUUUUAAUUAUCACAUCGCAAUUCACUUUCAUAAUAUAUUUAAUUAAAAAAGGACAAGAAGGGCAGCCCGGUGCACUAAGCUCCCGCUAUGCGCAGGGUCCGGGGAAAGGCCGGACCACAAGGGUCUCUAUCGAAUAAAAAAAUUGAUUUGUGCCUGCCUCCAAGUCCAUCUGAGCAUAUAGUUAAUUUCUCAUGUUCUAUAUGCAAAGGCAAAAGCUAAAACAUUUUCCACAAUAUGUAAAAUACAACAAAAAUUAUAAAUUACUGUUUUUGAAACAUGAAACAAAAGUUGCAACAUUAUCCACAACCCUGUCUAUGAUAUUGCAUGCAUACAAUGACUAUCUUUGAAUUGUCUUCUCCCCCCACCCACCCCGUCCCAUGAAGGGAGAAAAAUAUAGAACUAAUCUAAGAAAUUUAACACCAUUGAAGGUCGUAACAGAAGCAGAGUGCAAAAACAAGUUAGCAGAAGCGAGGGGGAAGAACAAUAUAGAAUAAUGCAAGAGAUGAUCUAUGACAGCAAGAAAAUGAAAAGCCUAACUUAGCUUUUCAAACAAAAAAGAAAUGACAGAAUAAAAAGCCAAGCAUGAGCAUCCUACAGCAUACAGUCCCCCUAAUGCCAAUAAUAAAAUAGAACAAGUAGGGUACUGAUUACAUUCAUGUCUAGAGCUUUUAGUUCAGCAAUGUCUAUCUUACCGCAAAAGGACAAUCUUACCGCCAAACUAUGUAGAUCAUAGGACAAGAGGGGUUGCUCUAAUGGUAAGCAACCCCCACUUCCAACCGAGAGGCUGUGAGUUCGAGUCUUCCCAAGAGCAAGGUGGGAAGUUCUUGGAGGAAAGGAUGUCGGGGGUCUAUUUGGAAACAGCCUCUCUACCNNNNNNNNNNNNNNNNNNNNNNNNNNNNNNNNNNNNNNNNNNNNNNNNNNNNNNNNNNNNNNNNNNNNNNNNNNNNAGACGUCACUAAGUGAGAUUAUACUGGAUAAUUGUUAUUAUUGUUGUAAGGUUCUAUUUGGAAACAGGCUCUCUACCCCAGGAUAGGGGUAAGGUCUGCGUACAUACUACCCUCCCCAAACCCCACUAAGUGGGAUUAAACUGGGUUGUUGUUGUUGUUGUUGAACUAUGUAGAUCACAAGGAACUUUAGUUUGUUCCCUGUCGUAUUCUUCAGCGUAAAUUAUUUUUAAUUUUUGACUAACGGCAUAGUUAAUCAAACAAAAACCAAAUUCAUGAAGCUGAACAACAGGAAGAAGUAGCUUUUUCUCACUAUUCAAUUUCGUUUUUUCAAUAUCCUGCAAUGAUCUUCACUUGUCAGUGGCUAAGUCAAAACUAUAUCGCAGCAGAGAAAAGGAAAAGGCGCCCUAAACAAAUUUUCCACCAGCAUCAAACAAAGUUAUGCAGACACAUCGAACAUGCUAGGAAAGCUUACUAACACCUCAAAUUGCUACUACAGACCAACUCAAGCAUUAACCAGUUCGAUUAUAACAUAACUUGGAGAAGAACAAUUGACAUUCUAUCCACAUGCAUAUAAUCUCCUUCCACACCAAUGAACAGAUCCCAACUAGAGAAACCAAUGUAGGUAUACAAGACUAGAAAAAGAUAGUGGUGCAACCUCAUUGAGCACCACAUUUGCAUUGUCAGACAUCAGAGCUAAACUACCUAUCUUUGAAUGUAAAGUGUAUAAGCUUCACAUUGAGUCAGUCAUCAGCCUUAGAACAAGAGAACUGAUGCAAGUCAACAUUCAUUUUUCAAGGAAAAUAGCAUUCAGUAGAGUAUCCAGAUGUUCACAUAUAUGGUUCAACAGAAAGCUUGUUUUUAUUUUCUAGAAAUAGAGGUAUGGCGCGGGGCGA